This is a small nuclear RNA of Trematomus bernacchii (emerald rockcod), 133 nucleotides long. Lineage: Eukaryota; Metazoa; Chordata; Actinopteri; Perciformes; Nototheniidae. The record is from RefSeq and is a predicted model, not a curated record.
GUGUUGUAUGAAAGGAGAGAAGGUGAGCACUCCCCUCGACAAGGAUGGAAUUGGCCCUAGUGGCCAUCAACACAUAUACGGUUAAGGCACUGCCACUUACUUCGUGGCAUGGCAUCUAUAACCAGAUUUUUUU